GAUGAAGAACGUAGUGAAAUGCGAUAAGUAAUGCGAAUUGCAGAAUUCAGUGAGUCAUCGAAUCUUUGAACGCACAUUGCGCCCUGUGGUAUUCCGCAGGGCAUGCCUGUUCGAGCGUCAUUUCAACCCUCAAGCUCUGCUUGGUGUUGGGCCCUGCCCGCUGCGGCCGGCCCUAAAGACAGUGGCGGUGCCGCCUGGCCCUGAGCGUAGUACAUCUCUCGCUCCAGUGCCCGGUGGUAGCCUGCCAGAACCCCAACUCUCGUGGUUGACCUCGGAUCAGGUAGGGAUACCCGCUGAACUUAAGCAUAUCAAUAAGCGGAGG
RNAcentral lists this unclassified non-coding RNA (322 nucleotides) under soil metagenome. RNAcentral's name for it is "partial contains 5.8S ribosomal RNA, internal transcribed spacer 2, and large subunit ribosomal RNA". The stretch from base 1 to 120 matches the Rfam family "5.8S ribosomal RNA", at positions 35 to 154 of the family's 154-position model. The record is from RNAcentral.